UACGUAAGUGGCGAGCGUUAUCCGGAAUUACUGGGCGUAAAGCGUGCGUAGGCGGUUUAGUGUGUGGGAUUUGAAACCCCGGGGCUCAACUCCGGAUCCGGAUCCCAAACUGCUAGACUCGAGCGUAUCAGAGGAGAGCGGAAUUCCCGGUGUAGCGGUAAUAUGCGUAGAUAUCGAGAGGAACACCGGUGGCGAAGGCGGCGAUCUGGACGAUGACUGACGCUGAGACGCGAAAGCGUGGGGAGCAAACAGG
Molecule: ribosomal RNA, 253 nt
Filed under: uncultured bacterium
Lineage: Bacteria
Description: partial 16S ribosomal RNA
Rfam family: Bacterial small subunit ribosomal RNA
Source: RNAcentral